GACGAACGCUGGCGGCGUGCCUAAUACAUGCAAGUAGAACGCUGAAGGAGGAGCUUGCUUCUCUGGAUGAGUUGCGAACGGGUGAGUAACGCGUAGGUAACCUGCCUGGUAGCGGGGGAUAACUAUUGGAAACGAUAGCUAAUACCGCAUAACAGUAGAUGUUGCAUGACAUUUGCUUAAAAGGUGCAAUUGCAUCACUACCAGAUGGACCUGCGUUGUAUUAGCUAGUUGGUGGGGUAACGGCUCACCAAGGCGACGAUACAUAGCCGACCUGAGAGGGUGAUCGGCCACACUGGGACUGAGACACGGCCCAGACUCCUACGGGAGGCAGCAGUAGGGAAUCUUCGGCAAUGGACGGAAGUCUGACCGAGCAACGCCGCGUGAGUGAAGAAGGUUUUCGGAUCGUAAAGCUCUGUUGUAAGAGAAGAAACGAGUGUGAGAGUGGAAAGUUCACCACUGUGAACGGAU
This 468-nucleotide ribosomal RNA is filed under the name Streptococcus mitis. RNAcentral describes it as "bacterial SSU rRNA". It matches the Rfam family "Bacterial small subunit ribosomal RNA", at positions 28 to 477 of the family's 1533-position model. Lineage: Bacteria; Bacillati; Bacillota; Bacilli; Lactobacillales; Streptococcaceae. The record is from RNAcentral.